CUUAAUAUGGCAGCAAAUUUAAAAUGUUAUAACUCAGAGGCUGAGUUUACACUUGGCAUUAACAUGCGACCUGUAUCCGGAUGUUGUCCACAUACACAUUGAAAAGACAAGUGUAAACGCACUUCUGAUCAUAAUGUUAUCCGAUCAGUGUGUCCUGGUCUAGAGGUAGUUGAGGAUGCAUUGUGAUCGGAUCUGUGUAAUGUAAACACAAUCCAGCCAACGUGUCUGCAUUCGCAUGUCGACGUCACGCAAAACCGCGCCCCCUCUCUCCCGAACUUUCACAAGACUUAUAUUACAUAUUGU
Molecule: long non-coding RNA, 303 nt
Organism: Sinocyclocheilus grahami
Lineage: Eukaryota; Metazoa; Chordata; Actinopteri; Cypriniformes; Cyprinidae
Exons: 3
Source: RefSeq, a predicted model, not a curated record